AGUGAACGCUGGCGGUAGGCCUAACACAUGCAAGUCGAACGGCAGCACAGUAAGAGCUUGCUCUUACGGGUGGCGAGUGGCGGACGGGUGAGGAAUACAUCGGAAUCUACUUUUUUGUGGGGGAUAACGUAGGGAAACUUACGCUAAUACCGCAUACGACCUACGGGUGAAAGCAGGGGAUCUUCGGACCUUGCGCGAUUGAAUGAGCCGAUGUCGGAUUAGCUAGUUGGCGGGGUAAAGGCCCACCAAGGCGACGAUCCGUAGCUGGUCUGAGAGGAUGAUCGGCCACACUGGAACUGAGACACGGUCCAGACUCCUACGGGAGGCAGCAGUGGGGAAUAUUGGACAAUGGGCGCAAGCCUGAUCCAGCCAUACCGCGUGGGUGAAGAAGGCCUUCGGGUUGUAAAGCCCUUUUGUUGGGAAAGAAAAGCAGCAGGUUAAUACCCCGCUGUUCUGACGGUACCCAAAGAAUAAGCACCGGCUAACUUCGUG
RNAcentral lists this ribosomal RNA (492 nucleotides) under uncultured bacterium. Its description in RNAcentral is "partial 16S ribosomal RNA". It matches the Rfam family "Bacterial small subunit ribosomal RNA", at positions 29 to 507 of the family's 1533-position model. The record is from RNAcentral.